UCCCAGACUCCUACGGGAGGCAGCAGUGGGGAAUAUUGGGCAAUGGGCGCAAGCCUGACCCAGCAACGCCGCGUGAAGGAAGAAGGCUUUCGGGUUGUAAACUUCUUUUCUCAGGGACGAAUAGAUGACGGUACCUGAGGAAUAAGCCACGGCUAACUACGUGCCAGCAGCCGCGGUAAUACGUAGGUGGCAAGCGUUAUCCGGAUUUACUGGGUGUAAAGGGCGUGUAGGCGGGGACGCAAGUCAGAUGUGAAAACCACGGGCUCAACCUGUGGCCUGCAUUUGAAACUGUGUUUCUUGAGUACUGGAGAGGCAGACGGAAUUCCGUGUGUAGCGGUGAAAUGCGUAGAUAUACGGAGGAACACCAGUGGCGAAGGCGGAUUGCUGGACAGUAACUGACGCUGAGGCGCGAAAGCGUGGGGAGCAAACAGGAUUAGAUACCCGUGUAUC
This 450-nucleotide ribosomal RNA is filed under the name uncultured bacterium. RNAcentral describes it as "bacterial SSU rRNA". It matches the Rfam family "Bacterial small subunit ribosomal RNA", at positions 329 to 794 of the family's 1533-position model. The record is from RNAcentral.